UCAGUGGCGAACGGGUGAGUAACACGUGAGUAACCUGCCCCAGACUCUGGAAUAACCCCGGGAAACCGGAGCUAAUACCGGAUACGAGACGGAGUCGCAUGACUACCGUCUGGAAAGUUUUUCGGUCUGGGAUGGACUCGCGGCCUAUCAGCUUGUUGGUGAGGUAACGGCUCACCAAGGCGACGACGGGUAGCCGGCCUGAGAGGGCGACCGGCCACACUGGGACUGAGACACGGCCCAGACUCCUACGGGAGGCAGCAGUGGGGAAUAUUGCACAAUGGGCGAAAGCCUGAUGCAGCGACGCCGCGUGAGGGAUGACGGCCUUCGGGUUGUAAACCUCUUUCAGCAGGGAAGAAGCGAAAGUGACGGUACCUGCAGAAGAAGCACCGGCUAACUACGUGCCAGCAGCCGCGGUAAUACGUAGGGUGCGAGCGUUGUCCGGAAUUAUUGGGCGUAAAGAGCUUGUAGGCGGUUUGUCGCGUCUGCCGUGAAAUUUCGGGGCUCAACCCCGAACUUGCGGUGGGUACGGGCAGACUAGAGUGUGGUAGGGGAGACUGGAAUUCCUGGUGUAGCGGUGAAAUGCGCAGAUAUCAGGAGGAACACCGAUGGCGAAGGCAGGUCUCUGGGCCACUACUGACGC
This 640-nucleotide ribosomal RNA is filed under the name Phycicoccus sp. I12A-02932. RNAcentral's name for it is "bacterial SSU rRNA". It matches the Rfam family "Bacterial small subunit ribosomal RNA", at positions 92 to 746 of the family's 1533-position model. The record is from RNAcentral. Lineage: Bacteria; Bacillati; Actinomycetota; Actinomycetes; Micrococcales; Intrasporangiaceae.